CACUUUGGGCCAGAAGGUCCCCAGUUUGACAUGCCUAAGUACUUUAAGUCAUUUAACCUUGGCUUUGUUUUGCGGUUUGCUGUAGGUGCUCUUAACUGAUGGCACAGGUUGGUCAACUAGUAGAACCUUAGAGCUCCGCUUGCUUUCCCUUUAAUUGAUUCACUGUAUGGGGCUGUCAGCGGUCCAACCUGGAGAAAAGGAGCUAGACUGUCAAAAGCGAGUGGACGGCCUAAAAGAGGCGCGUGAGUCACAUGAAUAUGGAAAUUUAUGCAUGAAAGUUCCCACAAGACUGUGGUGGGAAGAUGUCGCUCACCGUGGAGCUCCGCUGGGGGACUUUAGGGCUGGCUGGCUCGCUCAGUCUUCCUCAGUCACACUGACGCACUAGCUGCUCAAAUGGCGUCUUUCAGCGAGGCUCUCUCAGAGAGGGGGCUCUUCAGACUCUGGCCUGUUGAGGAGUUCUUUUGUGAUGCACAUCAGCUCCCCUGACACUGGAAAUGUAGAUAGUAUUAAAAAUACUACAGUGUCA
This is a long non-coding RNA of Pygocentrus nattereri (red-bellied piranha), 526 nucleotides long. RefSeq lists it as uncharacterized. The transcript is spliced from 2 exons. NCBI's taxonomy places the organism in Eukaryota, Metazoa, Chordata, Actinopteri, Characiformes, Serrasalmidae. The record is from RefSeq and is a predicted model, not a curated record.